AUAAUAAGCAUUAUCCCACAGUUCUGCCUUUUAAUGUGGCAUAGCCAUAUUCGCUUAUAAUUUUUAUUCUACACAUAUCACUGCUUCUCAGUGUGUACAUACUGGGGAAGGGGGUCAUUUUGACCCAGAAGGAUUUUUGAAUCAUCAAAUAUUUUCAAAUCGAAGGUUUUCCUAGUCUAGCUUCAUUCAGAUGAGCGUUGUGCAUCGAAGUUCAAGUCCCAAGAGAUGUUAUCAGUCGGAACGGCCGAGUGAACAAAUAUUUGUGAACCUCCUUCCAAAUGAAAUGUUCUAUAGAAGGGUGGAAGUGGUAAGAGACCGUUGAAACAGUGGUUAAGAAGAUUAUAUUUAUUUGGCCAUCAGCUCGUCUCAUGGUCUGAAGGAUGAUGAUGAUGAGGAAGAGGAGGAAGAAGAGAAGAUGAGGAACUUUUCCAAAAUAGGCAGUUUAACUCAUAAUAGACCCAAUUUCUAAAUACGAGGUUGGACUACGUCAUCUCUAAACGCAACCACUGGUCUGAAAAUAUGAGCUGUGUCAUAGAUACGGAGAACAAACAGGUGGUUGCCAAAGGAUGGGGGGAUUGGGCAAAAGAGGUGAAGGGGAUUCAGGGCCCCAAACUUCCAGUUAUAACAUAAAAAAGUCACAGAGAUAUAAUGUAAAGUCAGGGGGAAAUACAGUCAAUAUUGCAAUAACUGUGUAUGGUGGCCAAUGGUCCCCAGAUUUACAAGUGUGGGAAUCAACUCGGGUAAUGUACACAAAUGUCAAAUCACUAUACUGUACUCAAAACUCAUCUAAGCCACUACAUUCGUGGUAAACCACUAGUGUAAAACUAGUGCACACCACCACUACACUGCCGUAGUGGUUGAGUUUCAAUAAAAGUUAUGUGCAUCAACUCUAUUUCAACAAAAAAUUAAAAGUAACAAAACAAGGUAACAUUAUGAGAUUCGUUACACCUGGGCUUUAAUUUCCAAUUUUGGUUUAAUAUGUAUGACCUAACUUUAAAAAUCAGUUUACAGACAGACUAUCCUAAGGGCAAACAGUCCAACAAGACUUGCUCCAAUUCAAAGAAAAUCUUGAUAAGCAUUUUUUUUUCCUUUGUGGUUAUUAUAAAGUAUUUAAGUUUAAUUUUUAAAAAAUCCACUAUAUUUGAUUGUCAUUAUUUGAGUCAACAUGUUUCUAGUUAUGUUUCAGAGCACGGUUAGUUGAAACAGCCCAGAUCUUACUCAUCAAAAGACUUGGAAUAUUCACAGAAACUCUGUCACUCAUUAUUUCUCAGAGUUUAAAGAAGUUUAUGAACAUCACUGAGAAUCUGUCUUUUCAGUUUUGAAAGGGAAGUUAUAAUACUGACUUUGAAGUAUCUUGGCCAGUGAAAAAAACGCUACACAUAUAAGUUAUCAAGUGAAAUUAAAAGCUAAAGAAAUAAUAGCUACUAUAAAUAAAAACAUUCACAUUUGUUUAUCUGUGCUCAUUUGUCUUAAUGUUACCAAAAUUUAUUUUUAAAUGUUUUAUUUUAAGAUGUUAUGUUCCUACAUUCCUAAAUCUAUCUCCAUUUUACAUUUUGUUAGGGCUUGCAUGCUAUUUCUUUUUUUUUUUUUUAAUUAAAGUAUAGUUGAUUGAC
This 1613-nucleotide long non-coding RNA is filed under the name Sus scrofa (pig). RNAcentral's name for it is "lncRNA (ENSSSCG00040046288.1)". The record is from RNAcentral. Lineage: Eukaryota; Metazoa; Chordata; Mammalia; Artiodactyla; Suidae.